RNAcentral lists this ribosomal RNA (475 nucleotides) under uncultured Planctomycetales bacterium. Its description in RNAcentral is "bacterial SSU rRNA". It matches the Rfam family "Bacterial small subunit ribosomal RNA", at positions 367 to 832 of the family's 1533-position model. The record is from RNAcentral. Lineage: Bacteria; Pseudomonadati; Planctomycetota; Planctomycetia; Planctomycetales.
CGCAAUGCCCGAAAGGGUGACGAAGCGACGCCGCGUGUGGGAAGAAGGCCUUCGGGUUGUAAACCCCUGUCGGGAGUUAAGAAAUGUAAGGAUGUUAAUAGUAUUCUUACUUGACUAAGGCUCCGGAGGAAGCCACGGCUAACUCUGUGCCACCAGCCGCGGUAAUACAGAGGCGGCUAGCGUUGUUCGGAAUUAUUGGGCGUAAAGAGCAUGUAGGCGGCUAUGUAAGUCGGUUGUGAAAGCCUUCCGCUUAACGGAAGAAUGGCGGUCGAAACUGCAUGGCUUGAGUGCGGGAGGGGAGAGUGGAACUUCUGGUGGAGCGGUGAAAUGCGUACAUAUCAGAAGGAACGCCGGCGGCGAAAGCGACUCUCUGGACCGUAACUGACGCUGAGUGUGCGAAAGCUAGGGGAGCAAACGGGAUUAAAUACCCCGGUAGUCCUAGCCGUAAACGAUGGGCACUAAGUAGAGGGGUUUU